UACGUAGGGGGCAAGCGUUGUCCGGAGUUAUUGGGCGUAAAGCGCGCGCAGGCGGCUUUGUAAGUCUGGUGUUUAAACCCGGGGCUCAACCUCGGGUCGCAUCGGAAACUGCAGGGCUUGAGUGCAGAAGAGGAAAGUGGAAUUCCACGUGUAGCGGUGAAAUGCGUAGAGAUAUGGAGGAACACCAGUGGCGAAGGCGACUUUCUGGUCUGUAACUGACACUGAGGCGCGAAAGCGUGGGGAGCAAACAGG
Molecule: unclassified non-coding RNA, 252 nt
Filed under: uncultured Paenibacillaceae bacterium
Lineage: Bacteria; Bacillati; Bacillota; Bacilli; Caryophanales; Paenibacillaceae
Description: contains 16S-23S intergenic spacer region
Rfam family: Bacterial small subunit ribosomal RNA
Source: RNAcentral